This 458-nucleotide ribosomal RNA is filed under the name uncultured bacterium. RNAcentral's name for it is "bacterial SSU rRNA". It matches the Rfam family "Bacterial small subunit ribosomal RNA", at positions 29 to 506 of the family's 1533-position model. The record is from RNAcentral.
AUGAACGCUGGCGGCGUGCUUAAUACAUGCAAGUCGAACGGAGAUAGUAGCAAUAUUAUCUUAGUGGCGAACGGGUGAGUAACGCGUUGGUGACCUGCCCCGAAGAGAGGGAUAGCAGUUCGAAAGGACUGAUAAUACCUCAUGUGGUUGUCGGUUUUAGAAUCUGAUAACUAAACGGAUUUAUUCGCUUCGGGAGGGGCCUGCGUCCCAUCAGCUAGUUGGUAGGGUAAUGGCCUACCAAGGCUAUGACGGGUAGGGGACCUGAGAGGGUGGCCCCCCACAAUGGAACUGAAACACGGUCCAUACACCUACGGGUGGCAGCAGUAGGGAAUAUUAGUAAUGGGCGAAAGCCUGAACUAGCGACACCGCGUGUGCGAAGAAGGCCUUCGGGUUGUAAAGCACUUUUAGAGAGGAUGAGGAAGGACGGUACUCUCUGAAUAAGUCUCGGCUAACUACGU